GAUGAACGCUAGCGGCAGGCUUAAUACAUGCAAGUCAAGGGGGUAGCAAUACUACCGGCGCACGGGUGAGUAACACGUACAUAACAUACCAUAUACUGGGGUAUAGCUUUGGGAAACUGAAGGUAAUCCCCCAUAACAUUGCGAGAGGGCAUCUGAUUGCAAUUAAAGUUUCGACGGUAUAUGAUUGAUGUGCGUUUGAUUAGCUUGUUGGUAGGGUAACGGCCUACCAAGGCGACGAUCAAUAGCUGGCGUGAGAGCGCGACCAGCCACACUGGAACUGAGACACGGUCCAGACUCCUACGGGAGGCAGCAGUAGGGAAUAUUGGACAAUGGGCGAAAGCCUGAUCCAGCCAUGCCGCGUGAUAGAUGAAGGCCCUCUGGGUUGUAAAUAUCUUUUAUCUGGGAAGAAACAAUCUUAUUCUUAAGAUCUUGACGGUACCAGAGGAAUAAGCACCGGCUAACUCCGUGCCAGCAGCCGCGGUAAA
Molecule: ribosomal RNA, 485 nt
Filed under: uncultured bacterium
Lineage: Bacteria
Description: bacterial SSU rRNA
Rfam family: Bacterial small subunit ribosomal RNA
Source: RNAcentral